RNAcentral lists this long non-coding RNA (374 nucleotides) under Arachis ipaensis. RNAcentral's name for it is "long non-coding RNA (AIPA_LNC001908)". Lineage: Eukaryota; Viridiplantae; Streptophyta; Magnoliopsida; Fabales; Fabaceae. The record is from RNAcentral.
GUAACUAAUAGUGUAAUUGAAUCAUGCCUAGACUUUUGCAAUUAUAAAUUUCACCUUUAUGGAUGGGUCGGAUUCAACCAAUGGCUUCAUAGCCUCAGCAAUCGUGUUCGAGUCUAACUUGGAGUAAUCCUGUGAGAUCGUUCCCAUGGAACAUGUGUGACUCCCGUUGUAUCUCCGGAUCUCCCAACAGGCUUUCUUCUGUAUCAAGAUGGCUCGGAUAAGCCAGUCGCACCCACGUCCAUAAUUCUUGAACUUUGCAUAGAACGUCUGUGACUCAUAUUCAUAAACAACAUAAUCGACUCCUCUGGAGAUAGUGUAAUUCCGAAUUAUCGCAAUGACUGAUUUUAUUGAACCGUAUUCCAUUCCGAUUCUAA